This 49-nucleotide transfer RNA is filed under the name Psychrobacter sp. Its description in RNAcentral is "tRNA-Met". Lineage: Bacteria; Pseudomonadati; Pseudomonadota; Gammaproteobacteria; Moraxellales; Moraxellaceae. RNAcentral also lists the same sequence under 3 other names. The record is from RNAcentral.
UGCGGGGUGGAGCAGUCUGGUAGCUCGUCGGGCUCAUAACCCGAAGGUC